AACGAACGCUGGCGGCAUGCCUAACACAUGCAAGUCGAACGGUCUUGCUGACUUCGGUUGGUAUAGAUAGUGGCGGACGGGUGAGUAACGCGUGGGAACUUGCCCUGGAGUGGGGAACAACUGCUGGAAACGGCAGCUAAUACCGCAUACGCCCCUUAGGGGGGAAAGCUUUAUGCGCUCCGGGAGAGUCCCGCGUCCGAUUAGUUAGUUGGUGAGGUAACGGCUCACCAAGACGUCGAUCGGUAGCUGGUCUGAGAGGAUGAUCAGCCACACUGGGACUGAGACACGGCCCAGACUCCUACGGGAGGCAGCAGUGGGGAAUAUUGGACAAUGGGGGCAACCCUGAUCCAGCAAUGCCGCGUGCGUGAAGAAGGCCUUAGGGUUGUAAAGCGCUUUCGCUCGCGACGAUGAUGACGGUAGCGAGAGAAGAAGCCCCGGCUAACUCCG
This 447-nucleotide ribosomal RNA is filed under the name uncultured Rhodospirillaceae bacterium. Its description in RNAcentral is "bacterial SSU rRNA". It matches the Rfam family "Bacterial small subunit ribosomal RNA", at positions 29 to 505 of the family's 1533-position model. Lineage: Bacteria; Pseudomonadati; Pseudomonadota; Alphaproteobacteria; Rhodospirillales; Rhodospirillaceae. The record is from RNAcentral.